This 253-nucleotide ribosomal RNA is filed under the name uncultured bacterium. RNAcentral's name for it is "partial 16S ribosomal RNA". It matches the Rfam family "Bacterial small subunit ribosomal RNA", at positions 524 to 776 of the family's 1533-position model. The record is from RNAcentral.
UACAGAGGUGCCAAGCGUUGUUCGGAUUUAUUGGGCGUAAAGGGUGCGUAGGCGGUUAACUUAGUCGGAUGUGAAAUCCCGGAGCCUAACUCCGGAAUGGCAUUCGAAACUGGUUAGCUCGAGGUCUGGAGAGGUGACUGGAAUUCUCGGUGUAGCAGUGAAAUGCGUAGAGAUCGUAAGGAAGACCAGUGGCGAAGGCGGGUCUCUGGACAGUUCCUGACACUGAGGCACGAAGGCCAGGGGAGCAAACGGG